Molecule: long non-coding RNA, 534 nt
Filed under: Cricetulus griseus (Chinese hamster)
Lineage: Eukaryota; Metazoa; Chordata; Mammalia; Rodentia; Cricetidae
Description: lncRNA (ENSCGRG00000026516.1)
Source: RNAcentral
GGUUACAUAUAUUAGAGUGAUGGUGUUACUGAUAACUCUUUGCAAUAAAAAUUCCACUCAAUCUUAAGAAUGACAUGGUGAUGCACACAAUGACCGUGAGAGAGAAUGUAGAGUUCUCAGCAGCUCUUCGACUUCCAAUGUCUAUAACGAGAGAUGAAAAAAGAAGACGAAUUAAUGAGGUCCUUGAACUUCUGCAUCUGGAUGAGGAGUCAAAUGUCAAGCCUAGAUCAAAGGAGCUCAGGAAGAGGACCAGUAUAGCAAUGGAGCUCAUCACCGGGCAUCCUGUUUUGUUCCUGGAAGACCCCACCACUGACUUAGACUUGAGCACUACUACUGAUGUCUUCUCGGUCCUGAGAAGGAUGUCUAAGAGGGGACAGACAAUUAUCUUCUCCAUUACUCAGCCUCCGUAUUCCAUCUUCAGAUUUUUUGAUACCCUCACAUUAGUGGCCUCAGGAAAAGUCAUGUUUCAUGGCCCUGCACAGAAGGCUUUGGAGUACUUCACAUCUGCAGGUAUGAUUGACUUUUGCUGUGAAA